Molecule: ribosomal RNA, 664 nt
Filed under: uncultured archaeon
Lineage: Archaea
Description: bacterial SSU rRNA
Rfam family: Archaeal small subunit ribosomal RNA
Source: RNAcentral
CCGACGGUGAGGGAUGAAAGCUGGGGGAGCAAACCGGAUUAGAUACCCGGGUAGUCCCAGCUGUAAACUAUGCAAACUCAGUGAUGCAUUGGCUUGUGGCCAAUGCAGUGCUGCAGGGAAGCCGUUAAGUUUGCCGCCUGGGAAGUACGUACGCAAGUAUGAAACUUAAAGGAAUUGGCGGGGGAGCACCACAAGGGGUGAAGCCUGCGGUUCAAUUGGAGUCAACGCCAGAAAUCUUACCCGGAGAGACAGCAGAAUGAAGGUCAAGCUGAAGACUUUACCAGACAAGCUGAGAGGUGGUGCAUGGCCGUCGCCAGCUCGUGCCGUGAGAUGUCCUGUUAAGUCAGGUAACGAGCGAGAUCCCUGCCUCUAGUUGCCACCAUUACUCUCAGGAGUAGUGGGGCGAAUUAGCGGGACCGCCGCAGUUAAUGCGGAGGAAGGAAGGGGCCACGGCAGGUCAGUAUGCCCCGAAACUCUGGGGCCACACGCGGGCUGCAAUGGUAACGACAAUUGGUUUCGAAUCCGAAAGGAUGAGGUAAUCCUCAAACGUUACCACAGUUAUGACUGAGGGCUGCAACUCGCCCUCACGAAUAUGGAAUCCCUAGUAACUGCGUGUCAUUAUCGCGCGGUGAAUACGUCCCUGCUCCUUGCACUCACCGCCCGU